This is a long non-coding RNA of Girardinichthys multiradiatus, 1236 nucleotides long. RefSeq lists it as uncharacterized. The transcript is spliced from 3 exons. The record is from RefSeq and is a predicted model, not a curated record. Lineage: Eukaryota; Metazoa; Chordata; Actinopteri; Cyprinodontiformes; Goodeidae.
GAAGCAGAGCCCGGCACUGUGGGGCUGCAGCUGUUGAUAAAUCCAUUCUGUACUGACGGCACAAAGCUGCGAUUGCCUGUUAGACACUAUUCAACACAUCAACAGACUUGUUAUUUUGGUUAUGACGAAUGUACGAUAAUUUCCCUCAAAAUACGAUAAUUUUAUGUCUAUAGUACGAUAAUCCUACAUUUCUCACCUGGUAACAUUGGCGGGAACAGAUUGUGUUCGCGCAUGCGCAGAGGAUAGUCAGGGCAAUUGCAAACGACAAGACAAAACUAGCUAGAGCAAACGGUGAAGAGCAAAGAAACAAUGUCAGUACGUAAACGGAGAUAUAUUCUAUCAGAUUCCGAACAUAGUGAUGUGGACACUGUAAGACGGAUGCCGAAUGAGACUCCAAAGUCAAGAGUUUCAUAGCAAGACCGUCAUCGGCGUCGCAUUGGGCAGGCGCCAUUGGUAGCAGCACCACCAACAUCGGUCUCAUGUCAGAAGAAAUAUGGACAUCAAUAUGUAAAGUACUUGAUGCAGUGUCCAACCUCGGAGUAAAAAUAGAGGAAAUCAGUCAAAAGAUUGAUGCACUGCAAGAGAAGGUCCUAACACUACUAGAAGGAGCUCAGAAUAUGCAAUUUAAAACAAAAACUCCAAAGGCAUUAUCUCGAGAGAUUAAAAGACUGCAUUCUGCUCUAGGGGAGGACAUGCAGUACAAAGGAAAUGAAAGGUGAGAAAGUAACAAACAACAGUUUGUUUGGAAAUAGGCUGCAUAGUUAAUCUGUGGCCCACUGUUUAGCACUACAGCUAUGUAACAGAAUGAUCUCUGGUUCUGUGGACUUUGCAUUGUUUCCAUUGUUUGAGUAGGUUUCUUCUGGUUUCCCCAUCACUAAAAUAACCACAAUAGGUUAAUCCCUCAGCACGUGAUUCUGACCAUUAGCCUGUAUAUUGUUGCUUCAUGUGCUUGCCCAUAUAGCUCUUUACAGGUUCCCCCAAUAGCAUCAAAGUAUGGGUCAAAUGCAGUGGACAUAAACCAGUGUGGACAAUCAAGUACACCUUCAUCUAAGGCUGCAUGUUUUCUAAUUCUUAUUCAACUGAUAGUGAAAGAAAGAAAUUGAAACAAUUGCCAAAAUGAACUAUACUCCAUGCUACUUGUGUAAGGAGCUCCUGGCUGUUAAUCACUCAAAACCCUAUCCACAUUUCUGUCCCAGUGACUAAUACUGAGCUGUGAUCAGCUGUCCAAAACACAAC